RNAcentral lists this ribosomal RNA (254 nucleotides) under uncultured bacterium. RNAcentral's name for it is "partial 16S ribosomal RNA". It matches the Rfam family "Bacterial small subunit ribosomal RNA", at positions 524 to 776 of the family's 1533-position model. The record is from RNAcentral.
GACGUAGGGUCCAAGCGUUGUCCGGAUUUACUGGGCGUAAAGCGCGCGUAGGCGGUCUGUUAAGUGCACAAGUGAAAGCUCCGGGCUCAACUCGGAAAUUGCUUUGCAUACUGGCAGGCUGGAGGGACGCAGAGGUCUGUGGAAUUCCUGGUGUAACGGUGAAAUGUGUUGAUAUCAGGAGGAACACCCAUGGCGAAGGCAGCAGACUGGGCGUUUCCUGACGCUGAGACGCGAAAGCGUGGGGAGCGAACGGG